This 280-nucleotide long non-coding RNA is filed under the name Elaeis guineensis (African oil palm). RNAcentral's name for it is "long non-coding RNA (EGUI_LNC024244)". Lineage: Eukaryota; Viridiplantae; Streptophyta; Magnoliopsida; Arecales; Arecaceae. The record is from RNAcentral.
CCUCUCUUUCUCUCCGAUUUUCCCGAAGAAGAGCCGCGGGCACUGUUGGGUUUCUCGCCGUGUUUUCUCGCCGGUGAGGUCACCGGAGGCCGGGGGUGAGCCUUCCUUUCCUUCCUCUCUUCCUUCCCUUUCUUUUCGUGUUUUUUAUUGUGGCUGCCGGCGACGAGUGUCGUCGAUCUACAGUCGGGAAAGAGACUCUGUUUUUGGGUCUCUUUUCCUUGAUUUUUUCGAUGCCGGCAAUCGGAAUCGAUCGUCGGCCACGCUCCUCCGUGGUCGGGGG